GUACCGUGAGGGAAAGGUGAAAAGCACCCCGACGAGGGGAGUGAAACAGUUUCUGAAACCGGACGCCUACAAGCAGUGGGAGGCCCCUUGAGGGCUGACCGCGUACCUUUUGUAUAAUGGGUCAUCGACUUAGUCUGACUAGCAAGCUUAAGCCGUUAGGUGUAGGCGCAGCGAAAGCGAGUCUUAAUAGGGCGACUGAGUUCGUGGGAUGAGACCCGAAGCCGAGUGAUCUAGCCAUGGGCAGGUUGAAGGUGCGGUAACACGCACUGGAGGACCGAACCCACG
RNAcentral lists this ribosomal RNA (285 nucleotides) under Thalassionema frauenfeldii. RNAcentral's name for it is "partial Bacterial large subunit ribosomal RNA". It matches the Rfam family "Bacterial large subunit ribosomal RNA", at positions 498 to 784 of the family's 2925-position model. Lineage: Eukaryota; Bacillariophyta; Fragilariophyceae; Thalassionematales; Thalassionemataceae. The record is from RNAcentral.